UUAAACUGAAGAGUUUGAUCAUGGCUCAGAUUGAACGCUGGCGGCAGGCUUAACACAUGCAAGUCGAGCGGUAACAGAGAUAGCUUGCUAUCUGCUGAUGAGCGGCGGACGGGUGAGUAACGCGUAGGAAACUACCCGGUAGUGGGGGACAACCAUUGGAAACGAUGGCUAAUACCGCAUACGCUCUACGGAGGAAAGGGGGCUUCGGCUCUCGCUAUCGGAUGUGCCUGCGUGAGAUUAGCUAGUUGGUGGGGUAAAGGCCUACCAAGGCGACGAUCUCUAGCUGGUCUGAGAGGAUGAUCAGCCACACUGGGACUGAGACACGGCCCAGACUCCUACGGGAGGCAGCAGUGGGGAAUAUUGGACAAUGGGCGCAAGCCUGAUCCAGCCAUGCCGCG
This 398-nucleotide ribosomal RNA is filed under the name Oleibacter sp. HI0075. RNAcentral describes it as "bacterial SSU rRNA". It matches the Rfam family "Bacterial small subunit ribosomal RNA", at positions 1 to 401 of the family's 1533-position model. The record is from RNAcentral. Lineage: Bacteria; Pseudomonadati; Pseudomonadota; Gammaproteobacteria; Oceanospirillales; Oceanospirillaceae.